ACACGACUACAUUAGAUACCCGCGUAGUCCCAGCCGUAAACUAUGCGCGUUAGGUGUAUCGGUGACCACGAGUCACCGAGGUGCCGAAGGGAAACCGUGAAACGUGCCGCCUGGGAAGUACGGUCGCAAGGCUGAAACUUAAAGGAAUUGCGGGGAGCACCACAACGGGUGGAGCCUGCGGUUUAAUUGGACUCAACGCCGGGAAGCUCACCGGAUAAGACAGCGGAAUGAUUGCCGGGCUGAAGACUCUGCACGACUAGCUG
RNAcentral lists this ribosomal RNA (263 nucleotides) under uncultured archaeon. RNAcentral describes it as "partial 16S ribosomal RNA". It matches the Rfam family "Archaeal small subunit ribosomal RNA", at positions 717 to 982 of the family's 1478-position model. The record is from RNAcentral.